UGGGGUGUAGCCAAGUGGUAAGGCAUCGGACUCUGAAUCCGAGAUGCGCUGGUCCGAUCCCAGCCACCCCAGCCA
Molecule: transfer RNA, 75 nt
Filed under: Candidatus Alloenteromonas pullistercoris
Lineage: Bacteria; Bacillati; Bacillota
Description: tRNA-Gln
Rfam family: tRNA
About the family: Transfer RNA (tRNA) molecules are approximately 80 nucleotides in length. Their secondary structure includes four short double-helical elements and three loops (D, anti-codon, and T loops).
Source: RNAcentral